AGAGUUUGAUCCUGGCUCAGGACGAACGCUGGCGGCGUGCCUAACACAUGCAAGUCUACGGGAAAUCUCCUGCUUGCAGGAGAGAGUAUAGUGGCGAACGGGUGAGUAACGCGUAGGUAAUCUACCUCUGGGUUGGGGAUAACCUCGAGAAAUCGGGGCUAAUACCGAAUGAUGUCCUACCUAUUAGUUUAGGUAGGAUUAAAGAUGGCUUCGGCUAUCGCCCAGAGAUGAGCCUGCGUCCCAUUAGCUAGUUGGUAGGGUAAUGGCCUACCAAGGCGACGAUGGGUAGCCGGCCUGAGAGGGUGGUCGGCCACACUGGCACUGAGACACGGGCCAGACUCCUACGGGAGGCAGCAGUGAGGAAUAUUGGGCAAUGGCCGCAAGGCUGACCCAGCGACGCCGCGUGAGGGAAGAAGCUCUACGGAGUGUAAACCUCUGUUAGGAGGGACGAAAGGCACCGAUGUGAAUAAUAUCGGUGAGAUGACGGUACCUCCAGAGAAAGCCCCGGCUAACUCCGUGCCAGCAGCCGCGGUAAUACGGGGGGGGCGAGCGUUGUCCGGAAUCACUGGGCGUAAAGGGCACGUAGGCGGACAAGUAAGUCGAAGGUGAAAUCCUAUCGCUUAACGAUAUGGACUGCCUUCGAUACUGCUUGUCUUGAGUGCGGGAGAGGGAGGCGGAAUUCCCGGUGUAGCGGUGAAAUGCGUAGAUAUCGGGAAGAACACCAGUAGCGAAGGCGGCUUCCUAACCCGUAACUGACGCUGAAGUGCGAAAGCGUGGGGAGCGAACAGGAUUAGAUACCCUGGUAGUCCACGCCGUAAACGAUGGGCACUAGGUGUUGGCCGAGCACCUAAAUUG
Molecule: ribosomal RNA, 855 nt
Filed under: Candidatus Zhuqueibacterota bacterium
Lineage: Bacteria; Pseudomonadati
Description: bacterial SSU rRNA
Rfam family: Bacterial small subunit ribosomal RNA
Source: RNAcentral